GACGAACGCUGGCGGCGUGCUUAACACAUGCAAGUCGAACGGAAAGGCCCUGCUUUUGUGGGGUGCUCGAGUGGCGAACGGGUGAGUAACACGUGAGUAACCUGCCCUUGACUUUGGGAUAACUUCAGGAAACUGGGGCUAAUACCGGAUAGGAGCUCCUGCUGCAUGGUGGGGGUUGGAAAGUUUCGGCGGUUGGGGAUGGACUCGCGGCUUAUCAGCUUGUUGGUGGGGUAGUGGCUUACCAAGGCUUUGACGGGUAGCCGGCCUGAGAGGGUGACCGGCCACAUUGGGACUGAGAUACGGCCCAGACUCCUACGGGAGGCAGCAGUGGGGAAUAUUGCACAAUGGGCGGAAGCCCGAUGCAGCAACGCCGCGUGCGGGAUGACGGCCUUCGGGUUGUAAACCGCUUUCGCCUGUGACGAAGCGUGAGUGACGGUAAUGGGUAAAGAAGCACCGGCUAACUACGUGCCAGCAGCCGCGGUGAUACGUAGGGUGCGAGCGUUGUCCGGAUUUAUUGGGCGUAAAGGGCUCGUAGGUGGUUGAUCGCGUCGGAAGUGUAAUCUUGGGGCUUAACCCUGAGCGUGCUUUCGAUACGGGUUGACUUGAGGAAGGUAGGGGAGGAUGGAAUUCCUGGUGGAGCGGUGGAAUGCGCAGAUAUCAGGAGGAACACCAGUGGCGAAAGCGGUUCUCUGGGCCUUUCCUGACGCUGAGGAGCGAAAGCGUGGGGAGCGAACAGGCUUAGAUACCCUGGUAGUCCACGCUGUAAACGGUGGGUACUAGGUGUGGGGUCCAUUCCACGGGUUCCGUGCCGUAGCUAACGCUUUAAGUACCCCGCCUGGGGAGUACGGCCGCAAGGCUAAAACUCAAAGGAAUUGACGGGGCCCCGCACAAGCGGCGGAGCAUGCGGAUUAAUUCGAUGCAACGCGUAGAACCUUACCUGGGUUUGACAUGGAUCGGGAGCGCUCAGAGAUGGGUGUGCCUCUUUUGGGGUCGGUUCACAGGUGGUGCAUGGCUGUCGUCAGCUCGUGUCGUGAGAUGUUGGGUUAAGUCCCGCAACGAGCGCAACCCUUGUUCACUGUUGCCAGCACGUUAUGGUGGGGACUCAGUGGAGACCGCCGGGGUCAACUCGGAGGAAGGUGGGGAUGACGUCAAGUCAUCAUGCCCCUUAUGUCCAGGGCUUCACGCAUGCUACAAUGGCUGGUACAGAGAGUGGCGAGCCUGUGAGGGUGAGCGAAUCUCGGAAAGCCGGUCUCAGUUCGGAUUGGGGUCUGCAACUCGACCUCAUGAAGUCGGAGUCGCUAGUAAUCGCAGAUCAGCAACGCUGCGGUGAAUACGUUCCCGGG
Molecule: ribosomal RNA, 1343 nt
Filed under: uncultured bacterium
Lineage: Bacteria
Description: 16S ribosomal RNA
Rfam family: Bacterial small subunit ribosomal RNA
Source: RNAcentral